GCGAUACAGGGUGACAGCCCCGUACACAAAAAUGCACAUGCUGUGAGCUCGAUGAGUAGGGCGGGACACGUGGUAUCCUGUCUGAAUAUGGGGGGACCAUCCUCCAAGGCUAAAUACUCCUGACUGACCGAUAGUGAACCAGUACCGUGAGGGAAAGGCGAAAAGAACCCCGGCGAGGGGAGUGAAAAAGAACCUGAAACCGUGUACGUACAAGCAGUGGGAGCACGCUUAGGCGUGUGACUGCGUACCUUUUGUAUAAUGGGUCAGCGACUUAUAUUCUGUAGCAAGGUUAACCGAAUAGGGGAGCCGAAGGGAAACCGAGUCUUAACUGGGCGUUAAGUUGCAGGGUAUAGACCCGAAACCCGGUGAUCUAGCCAUGGGCAGGUUGAAGGUUGGGUAACACUAACUGGAGGACCGAACCGACUAAUGUUGAAAAAUUAGCGGAUGACUUGUGGCUGGGGGUGAAAGGCCAAUCAAACCGGGAGAUAGCUGGUUCUCCCCGAAAGCUAUUUAGGUAGCGCCUCGUGAAUUCAUCUCCGGGGGUAGAGCACUGUUUCGGCAAGGGGGUCAUCCCGACUUACCAACCCGAUGCAAACUGCGAAUACCGGAGAAUGUUAUCACGGGAGACACACGGCGGGUGCUAACGUCCGUCGUGAAGAGGGAAACAACCCAGACCGCCAGCUAAGGUCCCAAAGUCAUGGUUAAGUGGGAAACGAUGUGGGAAGGCCCAGACAGCCAGGAUGUUGGCUUAGAAGCAGCCAUCAUUUAAAGAAAGCGUAAUAGCUCACUGGUCGAGUCGGCCUGCGCGGAAGAUGUAACGGGGCUAAACCAUGCACCGAAGCUGCGGCAGCGACGCUGAUGCGUUGUUGGGUAGGGGAGCGUUCUGUAAGCCUGCGAAGGUGUGCUGUGAGGCAUGCUGGAGGUAUCAGAAGUGCGAAUGCUGACAUAAGUAACGAUAAAGCGGGUGAAAAGCCCGCUCGCCGGAAGACCAAGGGUUCCUGUCCAACGUUAAUCGGGGCAGGGUGAGUCGACCCCUAAGGCGAGGCCGAAAGGCGUAGUCGAUGGGAAACAGGUUAAUAUUCCUGUACUUGGUGUUACUGCGAAGGGGGGACGGAGAAGGCUAUGUUGGCCGGGCGACGGUUGUCCCGGUUUAAGCGUGUAGGCUGGUUUUCCAGGCAAAUCCGGAAAAUCAAGGCUGAGGCGUGAUGACGAGGCACUACGGUGCUGAAGCAACAAAUGCCCUGCUUCCAGGAAAAGCCUCUAAGCAUCAGGUAACAUCAAAUCGUACCCCAAACCGACACAGGUGGUCAGGUAGAGAAUACCAAGGCGCUUGAGAGAACUCGGGUGAAGGAACUAGGCAAAAUGGUGCCGUAACUUCGGGAGAAGGCACGCUGAUAUGUAGGUGAGGUCCCUCGCGGAUGGAGCUGAAAUCAGUCGAAGAUACCAGCUGGCUGCAACUGUUUAUUAAAAACACAGCACUGUGCAAACACGAAAGUGGACGUAUACGGUGUGACGCCUGCCCGGUGCCGGAAGGUUAAUUGAUGGGGUUAGCGCAAGCGAAGCUCUUGAUCGAAGCCCCGGUAAACGGCGGCCGUAACUAUAACGGUCCUAAGGUAGCGAAAUUCCUUGUCGGGUAAGUUCCGACCUGCACGAAUGGCGUAAUGAUGGCCAGGCUGUCUCCACCCGAGACUCAGUGAAAUUGAACUCGCUGUGAAGAUGCAGUGUACCCGCGGCAAGACGGAAAGACCCCGUGAACCUUUACUAUAGCUUGACACUGAACAUUGAGCCUUGAUGUGUAGGAUAGGUGGGAGGCUUAGAAGUGUGGACGCCAGUCUGCAUGGAGCCGACCUUGAAAUACCACCCUUUAAUGUUUGAUGUUCUAACGUUGACCCGUAAUCCGGGUUGCGGACAGUGUCUGGUGGGUAGUUUGACUGGGGCGGUCUCCUCCUAAAGAGUAACGGAGGAGCACGAAGGUUGGCUAAUCCUGGUCGGACAUCAGGAGGUUAGUGCAAUGGCAUAAGCCAGCUUGACUGCGAGCGUGACGGCGCGAGCAGGUGCGAAAGCAGGUCAUAGUGAUCCGGUGGUUCUGAAUGGAAGGGCCAUCGCUCAACGGAUAAAAGGUACUCCGGGGAUAACAGGCUGAUACCGCCCAAGAGUUCAUAUCGACGGCGGUGUUUGGCACCUCGAUGUCGGCUCAUCACAUCCUGGGGCUGAAGUAGGUCCCAAGGGUAUGGCUGUUCGCCAUUUAAAGUGGUACGCGAGCUGGGUUUAGAACGUCGUGAGACAGUUCGGUCCCUAUCUGCCGUGGGCGCUGGAGAACUGAGGGGGGCUGCUCCUAGUACGAGAGGACCGGAGUGGACGCAUCACUGGUGUUCGGGUUGUCAUGCCAAUGGCACUGCCCGGUAGCUAAAUGCGGAAGAGAUAAGUGCUGAAAGCAUCUAAGCACGAAACUUGCCCCGAGAUGAGUUCUCCCUGACUCCUUGAGAGUCCUGAAGGAACGUUGAAGACGACGACGUUGAUAGGCCGGGUGUGUAAGCGCAGCGAUGCGUUGAGCUAACCGGUACUAAUGAACCGUGAGGCUUAACCUU
RNAcentral lists this ribosomal RNA (2588 nucleotides) under Escherichia coli UMEA 3329-1. RNAcentral describes it as "bacterial LSU rRNA". It matches the Rfam family "Bacterial large subunit ribosomal RNA", at positions 354 to 2925 of the family's 2925-position model. The record is from RNAcentral. Lineage: Bacteria; Pseudomonadati; Pseudomonadota; Gammaproteobacteria; Enterobacterales; Enterobacteriaceae.